RNAcentral lists this small RNA (45 nucleotides) under Arabidopsis thaliana (thale cress). RNAcentral's name for it is "ATSL120130". The record is from RNAcentral. Lineage: Eukaryota; Viridiplantae; Streptophyta; Magnoliopsida; Brassicales; Brassicaceae.
UAACCAAACAAAUAAAGAAAGCCUCAGAAUUGCAGAAGUAUCAGC